This 210-nucleotide long non-coding RNA is filed under the name Olea europaea (common olive). RNAcentral's name for it is "long non-coding RNA (OEUR_LNC003250)". Lineage: Eukaryota; Viridiplantae; Streptophyta; Magnoliopsida; Lamiales; Oleaceae. The record is from RNAcentral.
UUUGGUUAAAACUUUGAUGAUGACGAAUUAUAGUACUAGUUUUUUGGACCAACAAGGGAUUAGAUUAUUACAAGCGAAAAUUUGUUAAUGUAUACCAUCCAUAUAUUUUGAUGUAUGUUACCAAAUCAGGAAUUUUGUCAUAGAAGUAAUGCAGUGAUUUCGAAAUUCAUGCUGAUAUUGUUUAUAUGCAUUGGAAUGACAUAUUUACUG